GACGAACGCUGGCGGCGUGCUUAACACAUGCAAGUCGAACGGAAAGGCCCUGCUUUCGCUGGGUGCUCGUGUGGCGAACGGGAGAGUAACAUGAGCGUAACCUGCCUUUGUCUUUGGGAUAACUUCAGGAAACUGGGGCAAAUUCCGGAUAGGCGCCCCCGCUGCAUGGUGGGGGUUGGAAAGUUUCGCCGGUUGGGGAUGGACUCGCGGCUUAUCAGCUUGUUGGUGGGGUAGUGGCUUACCAAGGCUUUGACGGGUAGCCGGCCUGAGAGGGUGACCGGCCACAAUGGGACUGAGAUACGGCCCAGACUCCUACGGGAGGCAGCAGUGGGGAAUAUUGCACAAUGGGCGGAAGCCUGAUGCAGCAACGCCGCGUGCGGGAUGACGGCCUUCGGGUUGUAAACCGCUUUCGCCUGGGACGAAGCGUGAGUGACGGUAAUGGGAAAAGAAGCACCGGCUAACUACGUG
This 468-nucleotide ribosomal RNA is filed under the name uncultured bacterium. Its description in RNAcentral is "partial 16S ribosomal RNA". It matches the Rfam family "Bacterial small subunit ribosomal RNA", at positions 28 to 507 of the family's 1533-position model. The record is from RNAcentral.